GGAUGUGAUCAUACCAGCACUAAAGCACCGGAUCCCAUCAGAACUCCAAAGUUAAGCGUGCUUGGGUGAGAGUAGUACUAGGAUGGGUGACCUCCUGGGAAGUCCUCGUGUUGCAUCCC
This 119-nucleotide ribosomal RNA is filed under the name Aegilops tauschii subsp. strangulata. Lineage: Eukaryota; Viridiplantae; Streptophyta; Magnoliopsida; Poales; Poaceae. The record is from RNAcentral.